CGGGUGAGUAUCGCGUAGGGAUUUAUCGUUGGGUGGGGGAUAACCUUGGGAAACUGGGGCUAAUACCGCAUGACGCCUGUGGGCCAAAGGCAGCGAUGUCGCCUGAUGAGGAGCCUGCGUCCGAUUAGCUAGUUGGUGGGGUAAAGGCUUACCAAGGCUGCGAUCGGUAGCUGGUCUGAGAGGAUGAUCAGCCACACUGGGACUGAGACACGGCCCAG
This 218-nucleotide ribosomal RNA is filed under the name uncultured bacterium. Its description in RNAcentral is "partial 16S ribosomal RNA". It matches the Rfam family "Bacterial small subunit ribosomal RNA", at positions 103 to 334 of the family's 1533-position model. The record is from RNAcentral.